This 207-nucleotide long non-coding RNA is filed under the name Fukomys damarensis (Damara mole-rat). RNAcentral describes it as "lncRNA (ENSFDAG00000032052.1)". The record is from RNAcentral. Lineage: Eukaryota; Metazoa; Chordata; Mammalia; Rodentia; Bathyergidae.
AUUUCAUUGGCAGCAGGAGGCAGCUCACAGCCCCACUGGGCAUGUGACCACCCCCUUUGCUCUGGAACUCUAUCCAGGGAAGGUAGAAAAAGAGACCUUCUACAGCUCCUGCUCCUCAACUUCUCCUCCAGCACUUUAUUCUACAUGUCUUUGACUUAUUAGAACACAUCCUGUGGUUAAACCAUCCAGCAAAUAUUUAUCGAGCCA